ACGUGAAACUGCCUAGGGCUCAAGCCCGUUGAACUCGAUUAUCCGCGGCGGAGAUAUUCACCUGCGGUUGGCCCUCACCAGGUCCGCCGCAGGGCACUUACCUCCUGCCUCACGAGGACGUUGCGAUCCAUUACGAAACGGUUAGCCAGCAAUGGCUACAGGCCCGGCACCUGCCCCUUGGCAUCUGGUUGCUUGUCCCACAGUAGCGGCGCUCAGUUCGGAAGGCCUGCGCCGCAACCUGGGGCUUACCGGUGCGUGGUGUGCAGCCGGGCGCGUGAUGGAUUCCCGCGU
RNAcentral lists this ribosomal RNA (291 nucleotides) under Culex pipiens pipiens. Its description in RNAcentral is "partial 28S large subunit ribosomal RNA". Lineage: Eukaryota; Metazoa; Arthropoda; Insecta; Diptera; Culicidae. The record is from RNAcentral.